This 443-nucleotide ribosomal RNA is filed under the name uncultured bacterium. Its description in RNAcentral is "partial 16S ribosomal RNA". It matches the Rfam family "Bacterial small subunit ribosomal RNA", at positions 338 to 795 of the family's 1533-position model. The record is from RNAcentral.
CCUACGGGAGGCUGCAGUGGGGAAUAUUGGACAAUGGGGGGAACCCUGAUCCAGCGACGCCGCGUGAGUGAAGAAGUAUUUCGGUAUGUAAAGCUCUAUCAGCAGGGAAGAAAGAAAUGACGGUACCUGACUAAGAAGCCCCGGCUAACUACGGGCCAGCAGCCGCGGUAAUACGUAGGGGGCAAGCGUUAUCCGGAUUUACUGGGUGUAAAGGGAGCGUAGACGGCGAUGCAAGUCUGAAGUGAAAGGCGGGGGCCCAACCCCCGGACUGCUUUGGAAACUGUAUGGCUGGAGUGCAGGAGAGGUAAGUGGAAUUCCUAGUGUAGCGGUGAAAUGCGUAGAGAUUAGGAGGAACACCAGUGGCGAAGGCGGCUUACUGGACUGUAACUGACGUUGAGGCUCGAAAGCGUGGGGAGCAAACAGGAUUAGAUACCCCAGUAGUC